This is a small nucleolar RNA of Callithrix jacchus (white-tufted-ear marmoset), 105 nucleotides long. Lineage: Eukaryota; Metazoa; Chordata; Mammalia; Primates; Cebidae. The record is from Ensembl.
AUCCUCCUGUAGUUCAUGAGAGCAAAGAUGACGUAUUCACACGCAGGUGUGAGAUGUGCCACCCUCAAACCUUGUUAUAAUGGUUGGCACAUUACCCAUCUGAAA